RNAcentral lists this ribosomal RNA (253 nucleotides) under uncultured bacterium. RNAcentral's name for it is "partial 16S ribosomal RNA". It matches the Rfam family "Bacterial small subunit ribosomal RNA", at positions 524 to 776 of the family's 1533-position model. The record is from RNAcentral.
UACGAGGGGUCCUAGCGUUGUUCGGAAUCACUGGGCGUAAAGCGUAUGUAGGCGGCUUUUCAAGUCAGGUGUGAAAUCCCAUGGCUUAACCAUGGAACUGCAUUUGAAACUGUAAAGCUUGAGUAUUGGAGAGGAUGGUAGAAUUCCAGGUGUAGCGGUGAAAUGCGUAGAUAUCUGGAGGAACACCGGUGGCGAAGGCGGCAUCCUGGACCGAGAUUGACGCUGAGGCGCGAAAGCCAGGGGAGCAAACGGG